RNAcentral lists this ribosomal RNA (406 nucleotides) under uncultured bacterium. RNAcentral's name for it is "partial 16S ribosomal RNA". It matches the Rfam family "Bacterial small subunit ribosomal RNA", at positions 30 to 526 of the family's 1533-position model. The record is from RNAcentral.
AUUGAACGCUGGCGGCAGGCCUAACACAUGCAAGUCGAACGAGUAGCGGACGGGGGAGUAAUGUCUGGGAAACUGCCUGAUGGAGGGGGAUAACUACUGGAAACGGUAGCUAAUAACGCAUAACAUCAGAUGUGCCCAGAGUGGCUUAGCUAGGUGGUGGGGUAACGGCUCACCAAGGCGAAGCUCCCUAGCUGGUCUGAGAGGAUGACCAGCCACACUGGACCUGAGACACGGUCCAGACUCCUACGGGAGGCACCAGUGGGGAAUAUGGCACAAUGGUCUGAAGCCUGAUGUAGCAACGCCGCGUGUAUGAAGAAGGUCUUCGGAUCGUAAAGUUCUUUCAUCGGUGAGGCGUUACUCGCACAAGAAGCACCGGCUAACUCCGUGCCAGCAGCCGCGGUAAUUC